GUCUGUGUCGUUUGUGCAAUAAUGGUACUGGUGCUAUGUUUACGGUCUCAGCUCAUGAACCAAGCAAGAACAGCGCCAGCUCAAUAAUGCUGGAUCUACUGGCUAGGGCUUCUCGUUGUCCUGUGAGAGGCCACAACUUCUUGGAGGAAAAAAACAUGAAGAAGCACCCACGUGGAGCACAAAAAAGAAGCAACAGUUCUUUC
Molecule: long non-coding RNA, 203 nt
Filed under: Oryza brachyantha (malo sina)
Lineage: Eukaryota; Viridiplantae; Streptophyta; Magnoliopsida; Poales; Poaceae
Description: long non-coding RNA (OBRA_LNC000325)
Source: RNAcentral